Molecule: long non-coding RNA, 291 nt
Filed under: Gossypium barbadense (sea-island cotton)
Lineage: Eukaryota; Viridiplantae; Streptophyta; Magnoliopsida; Malvales; Malvaceae
Description: long non-coding RNA (GBAR_LNC011163)
Source: RNAcentral
UUUGAAUUGUUUUUUGUAUUGUACUAGACUUGUUGAAUUGUAAUUUAUUUUCUUUUGAUUAAUCAUGUGUUAUAAUUUUAUAAAAUGUUGACUUUUUGAUUCAUAAUAUUGAACUUAAUUUUAAAUUUUUUUCUUAAGAUAGUUAUGUCAGGUUUUUCACAAUCAAGUGUUUCUUCCCAAAAUUCUCGAGGAACCAAAAGGAAAUGUGUUUCUAAAAAAGAUGUUACGUUGGUUACCUGUAUGGUUGACUUGCACAAUGUUGGAACCUUUAAUGAUGAUACGAGAUUCAAA